GAAAUGCGAUACGUAAUGUGAAUUGCAAAUUCAGUGAAUCAUCGAGUCUUUGAACGCACAUUGCGCCCCCUGGUAUUCCGGGGGGCAUGCCUGUCCGAGCGUCAUUUCUGCCCUCAAGCACGGCUUGUGUGUUGGGCCCCGUCCUCCGAUCCCGGGGACGGGCCCGAAAGGCAGCGGCGGCACCGCGUCCGGUCCUCGAGCGUAUGGGGCUUUGUCACCCGCUCUGUAGGCCCGGCCGGCGCUUGCCGAUCAACCCAAAUUUUUAUCCAGGUUGACCUCGGAUCAGGUAGGGAUACCCGCUGAACUUAAGC
RNAcentral lists this unclassified non-coding RNA (311 nucleotides) under plant metagenome. Its description in RNAcentral is "partial contains 5.8S ribosomal RNA, internal transcribed spacer 2, and large subunit ribosomal RNA". The stretch from base 1 to 104 matches the Rfam family "5.8S ribosomal RNA", at positions 50 to 154 of the family's 154-position model. The record is from RNAcentral.